AGAGUAUUUCCGGUAUAAAUAAGUGGGUCAUGCAUUUCUCAUAAGCAAAACAACUUUAUCGAAUUCGUCCACAAAUGAAAAGUUUCAUUUGUAUGAAUAUGUGACAAUAAGUGCUUCCUCUGCUGAACAAUUUUCAAGAUGGAGAAACAGUAUUCAGUUGAGUUCUUUAUGAACUUUGUGGAAAACAUUCAGAAUCUAUGUCACAACUUUCUUGAGUUCAAUCAGAAUGUGGAGGUGAGCGGCUAUGUCUGUGUGGACAUCGACAACAUGAAGAAGGAGAGGUAUGUUCUCAGUGAGAUAGUCCAAAUGGGAGGCAACUCCAUCAGCGAGAGCUACUGUACUAAAGUCUUCAAAACCACUCCCACAGGCACUGUGCAGAGGAGUGGAUUCCGGGACAUCACAAACGCUCGAGUCCCCAGUGCAGCAACAAGUUCGGGGGAAGUGAAUGUGCCAGGACAUUCGUAUUCAUCACAAAGGAUGAGGACUGGUCAUCAGAGGAAAAGUGAAACCUCCCACACAUUAUCUUUGAACAUGGCUGUUUCACCAAGGUCACAAACAAAGACAGCCAUUGACCAAUCUUAUAGUGUCUUUCAAGGUCAUAAUGCCAGUUCAAACAGUAAUAGUAGUUUUGUUAACCCCAGUGUGACAGGAAUUCAAGGACGUGAGUCUGGCCCAGGGGAUUCCCAAAAUCGGACGAAGUCAAGACAGUUGACUCCAAAAGUAUGUAGACCAGCAACAGUGCCUGACAGUUCUGUGCUUAAAAGACGGUGUGAACCUUCCCCCCUGUCAGACAGCGCUGAUGAUGCGGAUGUGAUAGUUGUGAAGCAAGAGCCCUGUGACGAGGAGCGGGAGGAGCACGGUGAUCAGCCUCCUGUCAAGCGCCGGAGCGAGACGUUCCGUCUACCUUCAUCACUAACAGGAGGAGCCCUACCAGUCAUCCAACAUCCUCAUCCAGCCCCUAGCUCAAGCAACACCAGAGGUGAGGAUAAGAGUUAUUUCUCUUCAUCCAGCAAGGAAACAAGCAAUUCAACACAUCAUAAAGAUAAGAAACCAGAUUUGUCCGUGGAAGAGAUUCAGAACUUGGAGGACUAUGAAGUAGAGCUUGUUCCGUCAGAUGCGGAAGAGGAGAGCCUGGACCUGACUUUCCAAGUGGCACAUCCAGGAGGAGCUGUACAAUCCAGUGUUAUUGGAGCACAAGAUCCAGGUACUGAUGCAGUCGUCCUCCCUGGUCGACCUGGCAUCUACACACAGCAACAGGCACAGGCCCUGCAGCUGAUAGAGCUGACUCCAGGCUCGAAUGUCUAUGUUAGUCACGUCCAGAUGACAAUAGCAGAAAGGAAGGUGAAGGUUGAGGUCCGGUAUGGUCAGCCUUUCCGUAAUGCCUGUCCGUCUGCACGCUACCUGCUGGGCUUGUUCUACACCCGGCAAGAGCUGGCCAACAGCUCCCUGUCCGACACUCAGUACAGUAAAUUCCGCGGGCUGGAUAAAACAGUGAUUGAUGCCAUCACAGGCUUUUGUUUAAGUAGAAGUGAAUGUCCCAAGGCUGAAAUACGUGGAGUUUUAACACGGUCAAUAACUAGUGCUCGAUGUCAACUCAAACAAAAACUGAUUGCAAGUUUGAAGAAGGACUCUUCUGUAGAGGCGGCCUGGACAUUCUGAAGUACGGGAUGAUUGGGACACCAAGACGAGAUGCCUGGGAACCGAUCCCACGUAAACAGUCAGGCUACCUUACCCUACCCCAGCAGACCCACUGAUUCUGUCUCAUGUUCAGGCACCAGUCAAUGGAGGAUGUGAAGAAUGCUUUGCGAUCGUCCAUUACAUCAUCUUUGCAUUCAAUCAGAGGAAGAGGAAUGGAUUUGUUCCUUUGUGGACCAUCACAGCAAAACAACGUACUUCAUCGUGGACCAUCACAGCAAACACUGUGCUUCAUCAUUGACCAUCACAGCAAACACCGUACUUCAUCAUGGACCAUCACAGCAAACACUGUACUUAAUCAUGGACCAUCACAGCAAACACUGUACUUCAUCAAGGACCAUCACAGCAAACACUGUACUUCAUCAUGGACCAUCACAGCAAACACUGUACUUCAUCGUGGACCAUCACAGCAAACACUGUACUUCAUCAUGGACCAUCACAGCAAACACUGUACUUCAUCAUGGACCAUCACAGCAAACACUGUACUUCAUCAUGGACCAUCACAGCAAACACUGUACUUCAUCGUGGACCAUCACAGCAAACACUGUACUUCAUCAUGGACCAUCACAGCAAACACUGUACUUCAUCAUGGACCAUCACAGCAAACACUGUACUUCAUCAUGGACCAUCACAGCAAACACUGUACUUCAUCGUGAACCAUCACAGCAAACACUGUACUUCAUCAAGGACCAUCACAGCAAACACUGUACUUCAUCAUGGACCAUCACAGCAAACAUUGUGGUCCAUCACAGCAAAACAAUGUGCCCUAUCGUGGUCCAUCACAGUAGAAAAAAUAUGUGCCCCACUGUGGACCAUCACAGCAAAACAAUGUGCCCCACUGUGGACCAUCACAGCAAAACAAUGUGCCCCACUGGGGACCAUCACAGCAAAACAAUGUGCCCCACUGUGGACCAUCACAGCAAAACAAUGUGCCCCACUGUGGACCAUCACAGCAAAACAAUGUGCCCCACUGUGGACCAUCACAGCAAGACAAUGUGCCCCACUGUGGACCAUCACAGCAAAACAAUGUGCCCCACUGUGGACCAUCACAGCAAAACAAUGUGCCCCACUGUGGACCAUCACAGCAAAACAAUGUGCCCCACUGGGGACCAUCACAGCAAAA
RNAcentral lists this unclassified non-coding RNA (2818 nucleotides) under Haliotis rufescens (red abalone). Its description in RNAcentral is "zinc finger protein 37-like, transcript variant X6". The record is from RNAcentral. Lineage: Eukaryota; Metazoa; Mollusca; Gastropoda; Lepetellida; Haliotidae.